RNAcentral lists this ribosomal RNA (375 nucleotides) under uncultured bacterium. RNAcentral's name for it is "bacterial SSU rRNA". It matches the Rfam family "Bacterial small subunit ribosomal RNA", at positions 523 to 898 of the family's 1533-position model. The record is from RNAcentral.
AUACGUAGGUGGCGAGCGUUGUCCGGAAUUACUGGGCGUAAAGGGUGCGUAGGCGGACCAUCAAGUCAGAUGUGAAAGUCCAUGGCUUAACUGUGGGAGUGCAUUUGAGACUGAUGAUCUAGAGUGCAGGAGAGGGAAGCGGAAUUCCUAGUGUAGCGGUGAAAUGCGUAGAUAUUAGGAAGAACACCAGUGGCGAAGGCGGCUUUCUGGACUGUAACUGACGCUGAAGCACGAAAGCGUGGGGAGCGAACAGGAUUAGAUACCCUGGUAGUCCACGCUGUAAACGAUGAGUAUUAGGUGUAGGGGACGAUAGUCUUCUGUGCCGGAGCAAACGCAAUAAAUACUCCGCCUGGGGAGUACGGUCACAAGACUAAA